Long non-coding RNA from Dicentrarchus labrax (European seabass), 1963 nucleotides. RefSeq lists it as uncharacterized. The transcript is spliced from 2 exons. The record is from RefSeq and is a predicted model, not a curated record. Lineage: Eukaryota; Metazoa; Chordata; Actinopteri; Moronidae.
ACAAAAAAAGUGUAAGGACUGGUGUGUUUGCCGGUCUGGCUAACUAGCUACCAACCGUCACUUUAAAGGAUAAGACUUAAAUAGCGUAACACAGUUCGUAGGCUAACAGUUUAUGCUAAAGGAAAAAAAAGAAGAAAAUAAUUAAGUCAUGGAUGCUGUCGGUGUUUAAGCUAACGUUGGACUAAGCAAACUACACAUUGAAGUGUAAAACUACCAACGCACAGUGGACAAGCAAAGGUCAGCAUUAUUUUGUUACACAGACGAGACGGACGUUGCCUCCAAAUACAACUACAUAUCAAUCGGUACAGAAAAACGAUACUUUAGAGCUCGCCCUAAAUUCGUGAGGAGCUCAUGUUUCUUUCAGGGGAUUGGAGCUCCUCGUAGUUCCCCGAAUUUCAAACACUGGCAACAUAUAACCAAGACCAACUGAUUAUUGAGAUUAGGGAGGUGCGCUAAAGUCAUGAAUCACUUUAUUCAGUUCAGGUAGAAGUUUUAAGUAAAAGCUAACCGGUCACAUAAAUGGCGGCCAGGCUAAUAUUUAGCAAUUAAACAGCCAUAAUUUCCUUCAGGAAAGAGAGGAAAUACAGAGCUGAAAGAGAGUUGAUAUUGGGUUUAUAUAUGAUGAAUGCUAACUGCUGGAUCUGUUUGCUAACACAUUCAAUAACAAGGUGAUGAUAUGUUAAUGUUUAUGGGUUUUUUUCCCACAGUUUUGUACGUGUUAAAAUUGCAGGUUUUUAACAGCUUCUAUGAACUCAAUCAUCGUCCCAACACAGAGAAUCAACACAGUAUCUGUAUUUAAUUAGACUGAUACUGUCAGUUUUGGACGUGGACACAGUGAACACAACCUCCUCCAUCCUGCCCACAGGCCGUCAUAACACAGCCUCAAUCAGUUAACCAAACUGGCUUCCAGACGUCUGUGUAAACACAUCGUGGCUUGUUGUUAUUGUUUUGUUAUUACUGUCCAACAUAUUUGGUCCAGUGUGCUGAGCCUCGAAAGAGAAAGAGACGUCCUGUAAGUGUAGGAUGCAGAAUAUGUGUAAAACAAUGCUCUUCUGUCUGUUGGAUUUGUGGUUAAACACAUUCUGCCGACUUUGUUAUUCCUGGAAAUGUUCUUUAUAUUGGCUGAGUUUCUCCUUUACAGUGUCUGCCAUUGAAACUGUGCUGAAUAUUACCCCACUGCGAGUAAACCGGUCCUGGAUGCUAUCGGAGUUUAAGACACGGAGUCAGCGCCACAGCAGCUGUUCAGGAUAAAGAGUUUAUUCACGGAGAUCGAGGCUGGUUGAUCCUGACAGACUUCUGAGGGAACUGGUGAUAGAAGAGGUCGACACAAACCGGACCUGGGUCAUUUAUUUAGAUUGGCACAAGAAGGAUGGGGUUCUGGUUGGUGUGGUGGGUGUUGAUGGGAACGGGCAGAGACGGUCAUAUCUGAAUAGUUAAGUUGUGUUUGGAAGAUGGACAAGACUCUACUUUAAAGGGUCAUUCUGGUUCUAUUACGACGGGGAUCUGAUAGGUUUGGUUUUGUUCUGAUAACAUUUAACUCUUUAUGUUACUCCGUUACACUGAAACAUCUGUGAGAGUUUAAAUUGGAAACUGUUGAAAUCAAAAAUACUCAGCAGGUGAUUGGAUGAACCAUCUGUCUAUCAGUCUAUCACAGGAAAAGUUAAACCAAUCAGAUCAAUGAACCAAUCGAUCAAUCUCUUAUGACUGACUACUAGGGUGCAGCUAGCUAACUGUAGCAUUGAUAUUGGUUCUCUGUACAGGUCUCGGUGAUUCGGUCACAUAAAUAAAUAAAUACUCUCCAGUUCUGAUAUAACUGAUGCUAGCAGCAGCUACGCUAACCUCUUCAGCAGACGCCAUUGUUGUUUUUGAGCAAACGGUCACUUCUCGCAAACACCUAGCGUUAAACCACAUGUGUAGCUCAUGCUAUAUUUCCAGGCUACAAUAAACUGUUUGUUUGACUAAA